RNAcentral lists this long non-coding RNA (562 nucleotides) under Solanum tuberosum (potato). Its description in RNAcentral is "long non-coding RNA (STUB_LNC003322)". Lineage: Eukaryota; Viridiplantae; Streptophyta; Magnoliopsida; Solanales; Solanaceae. The record is from RNAcentral.
CAUCAUACUUUUUGCUGGCGGACUUCACCAAUUACUGUUUUGAAGGUGAUGAAGUCAGUUUUUCUACGAUUUUCAUUAAAGAAAGAGUUGCUUCUUAUGUUUAAUUAAUUUGACCCUUGCUUUGCAGUUGAUGGCUUGAGGACAAAUACAGAAUAUUUUGGAUACAAUAUUGCAUCAACAUCCAUCUGUUAUUCAAUGAUUUGAAAAAGUCGUUCAAGAUUUUAGCAAGGAAGACAAAGCUCGCCUUCUUCACUCAUCGUCUAACAAAUCUGUCUACUUCUCCAAGUGUCGUUAAAAGGAUUUACUUCCCUGCAAGGAGUAUUCAGGUUUCAAAUCCAAAAAGUUUAUGCUAGACCUGUUCACUUGCCUUAAGCACAUUCAUGGUAAUUAUUUUAUCAUCUGAAAGUGAACUAUGAUUAUCCAAAAAUAAAUUUUGAUUGUCCUCCUGAUGCUGAAGAAUUUUCUCAGUCAUGUUGUUCCUCUCUAAGUUACUUAACUUUUUUUCAUUUUUGUUAUCAUCCUAAUUUACUUUUAUUACUAAAGAUACCAAUAGAAGUCUUCG